UUGGACACUCGCCCGCUGGCCAGGGAUCUAACCGGCGCUGCAGAGGCUGCGGGCAGCUUCGCAACCCAGCACUCAACCACUGCGCCACAGGGGAAGCCCGGUUAUGUGUUUUUGAAGGCAAGUAUUAUUGGGAAAUUAUUUCAGAAAUGAAUCUAGGGAGAGAGAUUUGAGAAACAUCCCCUGUUUCUAGGGAGGAGGAGCUUGCUCUGGUCAGACUCAACCAAUGUCAAUGUAUUCUUAAAGAUAGCCACUAAAGAACAGAGCUUCAUCAUAUGACAUUAUCCAGUCAUUGUUUUAUUUGCUUACCCUUUAAUCUACUUAUUUGUCAAAUAGUUCUAAGUAUAAAACUGAUUUUGGCAAUGUUUUGAAAUCAUUUGUUAACAUUUUCUUACCUGACCCAAUGCCAUCCCAUAUAAUGCCAUUGCAUAGUUUUGUUUUGUUUCAACAAAGACUAAUAGUCCCCCAGAUGCAAUUUCUUAAUCUUUUCUUCUUUCGGAGAAAAGCUCCUUUUACUUUACUCUAUAAAUCAAGAGUAACUGUAUACCCUUUAUCUAUUGACAUACACCCAAAUCACUCUACUGAUCAUGUCUUUUUCAAGGAAAGUUACUGCAACAUCCAUCAUUUGAACAAUAACGUCUGAGAACAUCUAACUUCUGACCAAGAGUGUUAGAUGAUUCCAUACGUUAUGGAUUAGAGAGAGCAAGCAACUUGCCCAAGGUCACACAGUUAGAGAAUUCAUGCUGGAAUACUAAUCAAGAUCUUCGAACUUCAAAGCUUGUUCUCUUAACCACACCUUUGUUGCUUUAUUUCUUUUACUGUAUUGUGAGCUUAUGUUAAAAUCUGCUUUAUUCAUCUUAUAUCUGUAUUUGACUAUCUUCUUAUGAGUCUUAUGAAAAUUGCUUCUGAAUAUUUUUUAGAAUAUAUAUUCACAAGAUUUUUUUUUUCUUUUUAUGAACUACUGUGUCCAACUAUAACAUGGCUGGAAGACCCAUUUGACUAUUCAGCAUACUGAGAGACAUGACCUGUGAAUGAAGACUCAGAGCCCUCGGAGGCCAAUGGUUCUGGCAGGUCUCAUGGCAUCUACGUGAACAGAUGGUCUCCAACACCUUCUGAGUCAGCGAGCACCA
Talpa occidentalis (Iberian mole) is the source of this 1127-nucleotide long non-coding RNA. RefSeq lists it as uncharacterized. NCBI's taxonomy places the organism in Eukaryota, Metazoa, Chordata, Mammalia, Eulipotyphla, Talpidae. The record is from RefSeq and is a predicted model, not a curated record. The transcript is spliced from 4 exons.